GGUUGAUAUGGUUUUAGGGAUGGCGGGGAGUCGUCUGGAAAUAGCUGAAGGCUGGAAGCCUGUGUUGAUACAUUAUCUGAUAAAGAGCAAAGAUGCCGUCUGUUCUAGAGGUGCCAUUAUCUACAAAAGAAGAAAAGACGAGAGAGAGAGAGAUGACUGAAUGAUAGCAUCGCCGCAUUGCUCUAUUGAUGGACAGUCUGUCUUCAGCCCCUUCAUGACCACGCUCGCCAUUUCCUGCAACAUCGCAAACCCAAUCUCGGCUCAUCUGAUGAAAAGAAAAAUCUCAAUGAUUUUCUUCCAGGUUUCAGUCCCUGGUGUGACGGACUGGAGGAGAUGGACACAUCUCUUAAUCACAGAGCGGUGGCCAAACAGAGGCUGCAGGAAGACAGACUCAUUAUCAACAAGCCCCCGUGUCCAGCGAGACCACCUCCAGAACCCGAGGGAAUUGAGCAAACACCCGGCCUGAUCCCUGCCUAGUUUACCGCCGGGACCAGAUGAAGCCCUUUAGCUAAUGAGACUCCCUCAUGGUUAGCUGCG
RNAcentral lists this long non-coding RNA (537 nucleotides) under Danio rerio (zebrafish). Its description in RNAcentral is "lncRNA (ENSDARG00000117682.1)". Lineage: Eukaryota; Metazoa; Chordata; Actinopteri; Cypriniformes; Danionidae. The record is from RNAcentral.